This 440-nucleotide ribosomal RNA is filed under the name uncultured bacterium. RNAcentral's name for it is "partial 16S ribosomal RNA". It matches the Rfam family "Bacterial small subunit ribosomal RNA", at positions 338 to 795 of the family's 1533-position model. The record is from RNAcentral.
CCUACGGGUGGCAGCAGUGGGGGAUAUUGCACAAUGGGCGCAACCCUGAUGCAGCCAUGCCGCGUGUGUGAAGAAGUAUUUCGGGUUGUAAAGCACUAUCAGCCGGGAAGAAAAUGACAGUAUUUGUACAAGUAGCCCCGGCUAACUACGUGCCAGCAGCCGCGGUAAGACGGAGGGGGCAAGGGUUAAGCGGAAUUACUGGGGGUAAAGGUAGCGUAGACGGUUUUGUAAGUCAGGAGCGAAAGCCCCGGGCUCAACCCCGGGAUUGCUUUUGAGACUGGGUACCGAGAGUCCUGUAGAGGCAGGCAGAAUUCCAGGUGUAGCGGUGAAAUGCGUAGAUAUCAGGAGGAAUACCGGCGGCGAAGGCGGCCUGCUGGACUAAGACUGACGUUGAGGUGCGAAAGCGUGGGGAGCAAACAGGAUUAGAUACCCUUGUAGUC